This 71-nucleotide transfer RNA is filed under the name Polypedilum yongsanensis. RNAcentral's name for it is "tRNA-Asn". The record is from RNAcentral. Lineage: Eukaryota; Metazoa; Arthropoda; Insecta; Diptera; Chironomidae.
UUAAUUGAAACCAAAAAGAGGUUUAUCACUGUUAAUGAUAAUAUUGAAUGUAUUAAAAAAUUCCAAUUAAA